GGGGGUAUAGCCCAGUGGUAUAGUGCAUGCCCAACAUGCACAAGGUCCUGGGUUCAAUCCCAGGUACCUCCA
Molecule: transfer RNA, 72 nt
Filed under: Camelus bactrianus (Bactrian camel)
Lineage: Eukaryota; Metazoa; Chordata; Mammalia; Artiodactyla; Camelidae
Also listed under: 3 other names
Rfam family: tRNA
About the family: Transfer RNA (tRNA) molecules are approximately 80 nucleotides in length.
Source: Rfam by way of RNAcentral